Molecule: ribosomal RNA, 858 nt
Filed under: uncultured marine bacterium
Lineage: Bacteria
Description: bacterial SSU rRNA
Rfam family: Bacterial small subunit ribosomal RNA
Source: RNAcentral
AGAGUUGAUCCUGGCUCAGAACGAACGCUGGCGGCAGGCCUAACACAUGCAAGUCGAGCGCGCUUUCGGGUGAGCGGCGGACGGGUUAGUAACGCGUGGGAACGUGCCCUUCUCUACGGAAUAGCCUCUGGAAACGGAGAGUAAUACCGUAUACGCCCUUUGGGGGAAAGAUUUAUCGGAGAAGGAUCGGCCCGCGUUAGAUUAGGUAGUUGGUGGGGUAAUGGCCUACCAAGCCUACGAUCUAUAGCUGGUUUUAGAGGAUGAUCAGCAACACUGGGACUGAGACACGGCCCAGACUCCUACGGGAGGCAGCAGUGGGGAAUCUUAGACAAUGGGGGCAACCCUGAUCUAGCCAUGCCGCGUGAGUGAUGAAGGCCUUAGGGUCGUAAAGCUCUUUCGCCUGUGAUGAUAAUGACAGUAGCAGGUAAAGAAACCCCGGCUAACUCCGUGCCAGCAGCCGCGGUAAUACGGAGGGGGUUAGCGUUGUUCGGAAUUACUGGGCGUAAAGCGCGCGUAGGCGGAUUAGAAAGUUGGGGGUGAAAUCCCGGGGCUCAACCUCGGAACUGCCUCCAAAACUGCUAGUCUAGAGUUCGAGAGAGGUGAGUGGAAUUCCGAGUGUAGAGGUGAAAUUCGUAGAUAUUCGGAGGAACACCAGUGGCGAAGGCGGCUCACUGGCUCGAUACUGACGCUGAGGUGCGAAAGUGUGGGGAGCAAACAGGAUUAGAUACCCUGGUAGUCCACACCGUAAACGAUGAAUGCCAGUCGUCGGGUAGUAUACUAUUCGGUGACACACCUAACGGAUUAAGCAUUCCGCCUGGGGAGUACGGUCGCAAGAUUAAAACUCAAAGGAAUUGACGG